RNAcentral lists this ribosomal RNA (376 nucleotides) under Odorrana graminea (large odorous frog). RNAcentral's name for it is "partial 12S ribosomal RNA". It matches the Rfam family "Bacterial small subunit ribosomal RNA", at positions 854 to 1400 of the family's 1533-position model. Lineage: Eukaryota; Metazoa; Chordata; Amphibia; Anura; Ranidae. The record is from RNAcentral.
ACACCAAUAAGCGCCAGGGAACUACGAGCUACGCUUAAAACCCAAAGGAUUUGACGGUGUCCCACCCCCCUAGAGGAGCCUGUUCUAUAAUCGAUGAUCCCCGAUAUACCCCACCACUCCUUGCUAAUCAGUCUGUAUACCUCCGUCGAAAGCUUACCGUGUGAACGCCUACAGUAGGUUCAAGGACCCGCACAGCGAGUCAAUACGGCCGGGCAGGGUGUUACUUAGGGAGUGGAAAGGGAUUGCCUAUUAUUUCCAAUUUAAAACAAACGAAUGAGUAUGUGAAAGCAUAUGAACGAAGGUUUAUUUAGUAAAAAAAAAAAAAUAGAUAGUUUUUUUUAGCCCGGGUCUGGGACGCGCACACCCCGCCCGUCCC